RNAcentral lists this ribosomal RNA (924 nucleotides) under uncultured bacterium. Its description in RNAcentral is "bacterial SSU rRNA". It matches the Rfam family "Bacterial small subunit ribosomal RNA", at positions 8 to 916 of the family's 1533-position model. The record is from RNAcentral.
AGAGUUUGAUCCUGGCUCAGGAUGAACGCUAGCUACAGGCUUAACACAUGCAAGUCGAGGGGAAACGAUAGAGAAAGCUUGCUUUUUCUAGGCGUCGACCGGCGCACGGGUGAGUAACGCGUAUCCAACCUGCCCACCACUUGGGGAUAACCUUGCGAAAGUAAGACUAAUACCCAAUGAUAUCUCAAGAAGACAUCUGAAUGAGAUUAAAGAUUUAUCGGUGAUGGAUGGGGAUGCGUCUGAAUAGCUUGUUGGCGGGGUAACGGCCCACCAAGGCGAAGAUCAGUAGGGGUUCUGAAAAGAAGGUCCCCCACAUUGGAACUGAGACACGGUCCAAACUCCUUCGGGAGGCAGCAGUGAAGAAUAUUGGUCAAUGGGGCGAGAGCCUGAACCCGCCAAGUAGCGUGCAGGAUGACGGCCCUAUGGGUUUGUAAACUGCUUUUUAUAAAGGAAUAAAAGUGAGUCUCGUGAGGACUUUUUUGCAUGUACCUUAUGAAUAAAGACCGGCUAAUUCCGUGCCAGCAGCCGCGGUAAUACGGAAGGUCCGGGCGUUAUCCGGAUUUAUUGGGUUUAAAGGGAGCGUAGGCCGGAGAUUAAGCGUGUUGUGAAAUGUAGAUGCUCAACAUCUGCACUGCAGCGCGAACUGGUUUCCUUGAGUACGCACAAAGUGGGCGGAAUUCGUGGUGUAGCGGUGAAAUGCUUAGAUAUCACGAAGAACUCCGAUUGCGAAGGCAGCUCACUGGAGCGCAACUGACGCUGAAGCUCGAAAGUGCGGGUAUCGAACAGGAUUAGAUACCCUGGUAGUCCGCACGGUAAACGAUGGAUGCCCGCUGUUGGUCUGAAUAGGUCAGCGGCCAAGCGAAAGCAUUAAGCAUCCCACCUGGGGAGUACGCCGGCAACGGUGAAACUCAAAUGAAUUGACGG